UUGGUUAUGCUGAAAAGAGCGCAGGGUGGAUGCCUUGGCACUAAGAGCCGAUGAAAGACGUGAUAAGCUGCGAAAAGCUUCGGGGAGGAGCAAAUAUCCAUUGAUCCGGAGAUUUCUGAAUGGG
RNAcentral lists this ribosomal RNA (124 nucleotides) under Drancourtella sp. An12. RNAcentral's name for it is "partial 23S ribosomal RNA". It matches the Rfam family "Bacterial large subunit ribosomal RNA", at positions 1 to 122 of the family's 2925-position model. Lineage: Bacteria; Bacillati; Bacillota; Clostridia; Eubacteriales; Oscillospiraceae. The record is from RNAcentral.